GCCGGGAGUGCCUGAAGUGUGCAACCGCAAGGAGCGCCCUAAGGUAAAACUGGUGACUGGGGCUAAGUCGUAACAAGGUAGCCGUACCGGAAGGUGCGGCUGGAACACCUCCUUUCUGGAGC
Molecule: ribosomal RNA, 122 nt
Filed under: Muribaculaceae bacterium Isolate-083 (Janvier)
Lineage: Bacteria; Pseudomonadati; Bacteroidota; Bacteroidia; Bacteroidales; Muribaculaceae
Description: partial 16S ribosomal RNA
Rfam family: Bacterial small subunit ribosomal RNA
Source: RNAcentral